Molecule: long non-coding RNA, 151 nt
Organism: Sinocyclocheilus rhinocerous
Lineage: Eukaryota; Metazoa; Chordata; Actinopteri; Cypriniformes; Cyprinidae
Exons: 3
Source: RefSeq, a predicted model, not a curated record
GUUCCAUGACCCCAGCCUCAGGGACAAGGUUACACGGGUAGUCUUGCUGUGGGUGAACAAUCACUUCAACGACUUUGAGGGUGACUCCGCAAUGACGCAUUUUCUCGAGGAGUUCGAAUACAAUCUGGAGAGAGAGAAAAUGUGUGGGCAC